GGUGAACGCUGGCGGCGUGCUUAAGACAUGCAAGUCGAACGCAGUCUUCGGACUGAGUGGCGCACGGGUGAGUAACACGUAACUGGCCUACCCCCAAGUCGCGGAUAACUGGCCGAAAGGUCAGCUAAUACGCGAUGUGAUUUCCCCUUCCUGGUGGGCCAUUAAAGGUUUACUGCUUGGGGAUGGGGUUGCGUUCCAUCAGCUAGGUGGCGGGGUAAAGGCCCACCAAGGCAACGACGGAUAGCCGGCCUGAGAGGGUGGCCGGCCACAGGGCCACGGAGACGCGGGUCGCACUCAUACGGGAGGCAGCAGUUAGGCAUCUUCCACAAUGGGAGAAAGCCUGAUGGAGCGAGGCCGCGUGAGGGAUGAAGGUUCUCGGAUCGUAACCUCUGAAUCAGGGACGAAAGACGCGUAAGCGGGAUGACGGUACCUGAAUAAUAGCACCGGCUAACUCCGUGCCAGCCGCCGCCGUAA
Molecule: ribosomal RNA, 474 nt
Filed under: uncultured bacterium
Lineage: Bacteria
Description: partial 16S ribosomal RNA
Rfam family: Bacterial small subunit ribosomal RNA
Source: RNAcentral